RNAcentral lists this ribosomal RNA (570 nucleotides) under uncultured bacterium. Its description in RNAcentral is "bacterial SSU rRNA". It matches the Rfam family "Bacterial small subunit ribosomal RNA", at positions 338 to 916 of the family's 1533-position model. The record is from RNAcentral.
CCUACGGGAGGCAGCAGUGGGGAAUAUUGGGCAAUGGAGGAAACUCUGACCCAGCGACGCCGCGUGCGGGAUGAAGGCCUUCGGGUUGUAAACCGCUUUCAGCAGGGAAGAAGCGAAAGUGACGGUACCUGCAGAAGAAGCACCGGCUAACUAUGUGCCAGCAGCCGCGGUAAUACAUAGGGUGCAAGCGUUGUCCGGAAUUAUUGGGCGUAAAGAGCUCGUAGGUGGUUCGUCACGUCGGAUGUGAAAAUCUGGGGCUUAACCCCAGACCUGCAUUCGAUACGGGCGAGCUUGAGUAUGGUAGGGGAGUCUGGAAUUCCUGGUGUAGCGGUGGAAUGCGCAGAUAUCAGGAGGAACGCCAAUGGCGAAGGCAGGACUCUGGGCCAUUACUGACACUGAGGAGCGAAAGCGUGGGGAGCGAACAGGAUUAGAUACCCUGGUAGUCCACGCCGUAAACGGUGGGCACUAGUUGUGGGGACCUUCCACGGUCUCUGCGACGCAGCUAACGCAUUAAGUGCCCCGCCUGGGGAGUACGAUCGCAAGAAUUAAAACUUAAAUUGAAAUUGACGG